Non-coding RNA from Camellia sinensis, 747 nucleotides. Lineage: Eukaryota; Viridiplantae; Streptophyta; Magnoliopsida; Ericales; Theaceae. The record is from RefSeq and is a predicted model, not a curated record.
GGGUUAUGAGUUUGGUAUCAGUAAUUGUUCUAUAUCUUGUGAAAUGUAAAUGGAUUUUUUCACAAUCUAUCUUGCCCAUGCUUAUAUGCCCCCUAUUUGUGAACGGUGUAAAUUACUCGUUUUUCUUUUUUCACCUAGAAAAACCAUCUUAUGAUGAAAUCUCAACAAGUCCUCUAAUCUAUUUUUCAAAGAAUUGAAUGAAACUAGUGAAUAAUUUGAAACAUCUUUUAAGUUGAAAUGAUAUAUAGGAAAAGGAUAGAUAUGAACAAUGCAAUUCUUUAUUAUCAAGCAUUAAAUUUGUUUUACUAGUGAUACAUUUCAUUGUUAUAUUGGUUCAUUCUUCCUUACAGGAACAAUCAAAAGCUAACAUAUUUGUCUUACUAAUGAUACAUUUCAUUAUUAUAUUGGUCAUUCUUUCUUAUAGGAGCAAUCAAAGGGUAACAUCGCGAACAGAGAAAGGAUGUAUACAAAACACAGGUGUGGUUCUAGGUCAAUCCCUGUUAGAGUAGAAAAACUGAUUGGAUUGGGGUGGCAUUUUUGACGUGGAGCAAUGAUGUAAUUUGCUUGAAUGUUCAUUUUUGUUUGAUAAGGAUACACAUACUUUGUGGAGUUGCACUAGUAAUUGUUGGAUUUUUGGUAAAAUUGAACAAGUUAUAACUUUUGGAUAUUUUGUGGAUAUUUCACUAUUUUAUUGUAUUAGGACGAAAUUAUUUGUGAUGAUGAAUGGAUAUUUUCAUUUUGUUAAUU